This 303-nucleotide ribosomal RNA is filed under the name uncultured bacterium. RNAcentral describes it as "bacterial SSU rRNA". It matches the Rfam family "Bacterial small subunit ribosomal RNA", at positions 355 to 672 of the family's 1533-position model. The record is from RNAcentral.
UGGGGAAUAUUGGGCAAUGGGCGCAAGCCUGACCCAGCAACGCCGCGUGAAGGAAGAAGGCUUUCGGGUUGUAAACUUCUUUUCUCAGGGACGAAGCAAGUGACGGUACCUGAGGAAUAAGCCACGGCUAACUACGUGCCAGCAGCCGCGGUAAUACGUAGGUGGCAAGCGUUAUCCGGAUUUACUGGGUGUAAAGGGCGUGUAGGCGGGGACGCAAGUCAGAUGUGAAAACCACGGGCUCAACCUGUGGCCUGCAUUUGAAACUGUGUUUCUUGAGUACUGGAGAGGCAGACGGAAUUCCUA